GAUGAACGCUAGCUACAGGCUUAACACAUGCAAGUCGAGGGGAAACGCCAUCGAAAGCUUGCUUUUGAUGGGCGUCGACCGGCGCACGGGUGAGUAACGCGUAUCCAACCUGCCCAUCACUUGGGGAUAACCUUGCGAAAGUAAGACUAAUACCCAAUGAUAUCUCUAGAAGACAUCUGAAAGAGAUUAAAGAUUUAUCGGUGAUGGAUGGGGAUGCGUCUGAUUAGCUUGUUGGCGGGGUAACGGCCCACCAAGGCAACGAUCAGUAGGGGUUCUGAGAGGAAGGUCCCCCACAUUGGAACUGAGACACGGUCCAAACUCCUACGGGAGGCAGCAGUGAGGAAUAUUGGUCAAUGGGCGAGAGCCUGAACCAGCCAAGUAGCGUGCAGGAAGACGGCCCUAUGGAUUGUAAACUGCUUUUAUAAGGGAAUAAAGUGAGAGUCGUGACUCUUUUUGUAUGUACCUUAUGAAUAAGGACCGGCUAAUUCCGUG
This 492-nucleotide ribosomal RNA is filed under the name uncultured bacterium. RNAcentral describes it as "partial 16S ribosomal RNA". It matches the Rfam family "Bacterial small subunit ribosomal RNA", at positions 28 to 507 of the family's 1533-position model. The record is from RNAcentral.